RNAcentral lists this small nuclear RNA (23 nucleotides) under Arabidopsis thaliana (thale cress). RNAcentral's name for it is "snRNA_08842". The record is from RNAcentral. Lineage: Eukaryota; Viridiplantae; Streptophyta; Magnoliopsida; Brassicales; Brassicaceae.
UCAACAGGUCCAAUGCAAGCAGU